RNAcentral lists this ribosomal RNA (253 nucleotides) under uncultured bacterium. Its description in RNAcentral is "partial 16S ribosomal RNA". It matches the Rfam family "Bacterial small subunit ribosomal RNA", at positions 524 to 776 of the family's 1533-position model. The record is from RNAcentral.
UACGUAGGGAGCAAGCGUUGUCCGGAAUCAUUGGGCGUAAAGCGCGCGUAGGUGGCCUCAUAAGUCCGCUGUGAAAGUCAAAGGCUCAACCUUUGAAAGCCGGUGGAUACUGUGGGGCUAGAGUACGGAAGAGGCGAGUGGAAUUCCUGGUGUAGCGGUGGAAUGCGCAGAUAUCAGGAGGAACACCGGUGGCGAAGGCGGUUCUCUGGGCAUUACCUGACGCUGAGGAGCGAAAGUGUGGGGAGCGAACAGG